RNAcentral lists this ribosomal RNA (396 nucleotides) under uncultured bacterium. RNAcentral's name for it is "partial 16S ribosomal RNA". It matches the Rfam family "Bacterial small subunit ribosomal RNA", at positions 360 to 774 of the family's 1533-position model. The record is from RNAcentral.
AAUAUUGCACAAUGGAGGAAACUCUGAUGCAGCGACGCCGCGUGAAUGACGAAGGCCUUCGGGUCGUAAAAUUCUGUCCUUGGGGACGAUAAUGACGGUACCCAAGGAGGCAGCCCCGGCUAACUACGUGCCAGCAGCCGCGGUAAUACGUAGGGGUCGAGCGUUGUCCGGAAUUAUUGGGCGUAAAGGGUUCGCAGGCGGUCUUUUAAGUCAGAUGGUAAAUGCAUAGGCUCAACCUAUGAGUGCAUUUGAAACUGGAAGACUUGAGUUAAGGAGAGGAAAGUGGAAUUCCUAGUGUAGCGGUGAAAUGCGUAGAUAUUAGGAGGAAGACCAGUGGCGAAGGCGACUACCUGGACGAAAACUGACGCUGAGGCACGAAAGCGUGGGGAGCAAACA